UCGAGAAUAGUCUACAAUGGCCGGAAGGCUGAUAGUGCGACGCCGCGUGAACGAGGGAGCCCUUCGGGGUGUAAAGUUCUUUUGCUAGGGGAGAAUAAGUGUGGGAGGGAAUGCCUGCACGAUGACAAGGACUAUCGAAUAAGUCCCGGCCAACUACGUGCCAGCAGCCGCGGUAACACGUAGGGGGCGAGCGUUGUUCGGAAUUACUGGGCGUAAAGGGCAUGUAGGCGGCUUGGUAAGCCUGGCGUGAAAGUCUGCAGCUUAACUGUAGGGAUGCGUUGGGAACUGCUUAGCUUGAGUUACGGAGAGGGAGCUGGAAUUCCUGGUGUAGGGGUGAAAUCUGUAGAUAUCAGGAAGAACACCGAUGGCGAAGGCAAGCUUCUGGCCGACAACUGACGCUGAGGUGCGAAAGUGUGGGGAUCAAACAGG
This 429-nucleotide ribosomal RNA is filed under the name uncultured prokaryote. RNAcentral describes it as "bacterial SSU rRNA". It matches the Rfam family "Bacterial small subunit ribosomal RNA", at positions 355 to 776 of the family's 1533-position model. The record is from RNAcentral.